CGUUCCCGGGCCUUGUACACACCGCCCGUCACGACCACGAAAGUCGGUAACACCCGAAGCCAGUGGCCUAACCCGUUUGGGAAGGAGCUGUCGAAGGUGGGAUCGGCGAUUGGGGUG
RNAcentral lists this ribosomal RNA (117 nucleotides) under uncultured bacterium. Its description in RNAcentral is "partial 16S ribosomal RNA". It matches the Rfam family "Bacterial small subunit ribosomal RNA", at positions 1369 to 1482 of the family's 1533-position model. The record is from RNAcentral.